CGAACGCUGAGCACCAGACUUGCUGGUGUGGAUGAGUGGCGAACGGGUGAGUAAUACGUGAGUAACCUGCCCUUGACUCUGGGAUAAGCCCGGGAAACUGGGUCUAAUACUGGAUGCUACAUGUCACCGCAUGGUGGUGUGUGGAAAGGGUUUACUGGUCUUGGAUGGGCUCACGGCCUAUCAGCUUGUUGGUGAGGUAAUGGCUCACCAAGGCGACGACGGGUAGCCGGCCUGAGAGGGUGACCGGCCACACUGGGACUGAGACACGGCCCAGACUCCUACGGGAGGCAGCAGUGGGGAAUAUUGCACAAUGGGCGAAAGCCUGAUGCAGCGACGCCGCGUGAGGGAUGACGGCCUUCGGGUUGUAAACCUCUUUCAGCAGGGAAGAAGCCACAAGUGACGGUACCUGCAGAAGAAGCGCCGGCUAACUACGUGCCAGCAGCCGCGGUAAUACGUAGGGCGCAAGCGUUGUCCGGAAUUAUUGGGCGUAAAGAGCUCGUAGGCGGUUUGUCGCGUCUGCUGUGAAAGCCCGGGGCUUAACCCCGGGUGUGCAGUGGGUACGGGCAGACUAGAGUGCAGUAGGGGAGACUGGAAUUCCUGGUGUAGCGGUGGAAUGCGCAGAUAUCAGGAGGAACACCGAUGGCGAAGGCAGGUCUCUGGGCUGUUACUGACGCUGAGGAGCGAAAGCAUGGGGAGCGAACAGGAUUAGAUACCCUGGUAGUCCAUGCCGUAAACGUUGGGCACUAGGUGUGGGGGACAU
RNAcentral lists this ribosomal RNA (760 nucleotides) under Kocuria palustris. RNAcentral's name for it is "bacterial SSU rRNA". It matches the Rfam family "Bacterial small subunit ribosomal RNA", at positions 63 to 832 of the family's 1533-position model. The record is from RNAcentral. Lineage: Bacteria; Bacillati; Actinomycetota; Actinomycetes; Micrococcales; Micrococcaceae.